This 207-nucleotide ribosomal RNA is filed under the name uncultured bacterium. RNAcentral describes it as "partial 16S ribosomal RNA". It matches the Rfam family "Bacterial small subunit ribosomal RNA", at positions 568 to 774 of the family's 1533-position model. The record is from RNAcentral.
UGUGUAGGCGGUUCUUUAAGUUUGUUGUGAAAUCUCCCGGCUCAACCGGGAGGGUGCGGCGAAUACUGAGGGACUCGAGUGCGGGAGAGGAAAGUGGAAUUCCUGGUGUAGCGGUGAAAUGCGUAGAUAUCAGGAGGAACACCGGUGGUGUAGACGGCUUUCUGGACCGUAACUGACGCUGAGACACGAAAGCGUGGGUAGCAAACA